This 87-nucleotide transfer RNA is filed under the name Caudoviricetes sp. RNAcentral describes it as "tRNA-Leu". It matches the Rfam family "tRNA". From Rfam's summary of the family: Transfer RNA (tRNA) molecules are approximately 80 nucleotides in length. Lineage: Duplodnaviria; Heunggongvirae; Uroviricota; Caudoviricetes. The record is from RNAcentral.
GCUGGCAUGGUGGAAUCGGCAGACACAAGGGACUUAAAAUCCCUCGGCAGAAAUGUCAUACGGGUUCAAAUCCCGUCGCCAGCACCA